RNAcentral lists this ribosomal RNA (484 nucleotides) under uncultured bacterium. RNAcentral's name for it is "partial 16S ribosomal RNA". It matches the Rfam family "Bacterial small subunit ribosomal RNA", at positions 30 to 507 of the family's 1533-position model. The record is from RNAcentral.
AUUGAACGCUGGCGGCAGGCCUAACACAUGCAAGUCGAGCGGAAGAAGGGAGCUUGCUCCUGGAUUCAGCGGCGGACGGGUGAGUAAUGCCUAGGAAUCUGCCUGGUAGUGGGGGAUAACGUCCGGAAACGGGCGCUAAUACCGCAUACGUCCUGAGGGAGAAAGUGGGGGAUCUUCGGACCUCACGCUAUCAGAUGAGCCUAGGUCGGAUUAGCUAGUUGGUGGGGUAAAGGCCUACCAAGGCGACGAUCCGUAACUGGUCUGAGAGGAUGAUCAGUCACACUGGAACUGAGACACGGUCCAGACUCCUACGGGAGGCAGCAGUGGGGAAUAUUGGACAAUGGGCGAAAGCCUGAUCCAGCCAUGCCGCGUGUGUGAAGAAGGUCUUCGGAUUGUAAAGCACUUUUAGUUGGGAGGAAGGGCAGUAAGUUAAUACCUUGCUGUUUUGACGUUACCAACAGAAUAAGCACCGGCUAACUUCGUG